This is a long non-coding RNA of Neopsephotus bourkii (Bourke's parrot), 1952 nucleotides long. RefSeq lists it as uncharacterized. The record is from RefSeq and is a predicted model, not a curated record. Lineage: Eukaryota; Metazoa; Chordata; Aves; Psittaciformes; Psittacidae. The transcript is spliced from 2 exons.
AGAUGUAUAUAUAUAGAUAUAUAUAUAUAGAGAGAGAGAGAGAGAGCAGCCAAUAUGUGGUCUAUGCAAAAAGAAAUAGCAAUUUCCAGAAAAAUGGUAAAAUACUAGAAAGCAUUUGUUCUCAUUUUGCUGCCGUUCAAGUGAUAAUUGUGCUUAGGAUAUGAACUCCUGUAUUAUCUUUUCUUGAGUAUGUGUUCCAUAUUAAAAGUAGGUAUGUCCUUUAAUUUUGGAUGCAAAAGAACAAUUCCUGGAUGCACAAAAGUUCCCAAAUAUUCUGUCCUGCAGAAAUUAAAUACUGACUGCAUGUCCUACACCCAGCUAUGCCCGUUUGUGUACUUACACGAGUUUCCACAAGAGGGAAGAGUAGUCCUUCAUAAUGAAAGGCUGUUUAGCGCAAUACCUUGUUGCUUACUUAGGUAUUGGAUUGGAAAGAGAAUAAGUCACUGACAACAGAACAGUAGAGAUAUUUCUUUACAUAUGUUUUCUGGUGUAAUGAUAAUAAUAUUGUAUCCGCUAUAGCCAAAUUACACUUCACAUUUCACCUUGAGUGGAUAGCGAGCUCGCAAACACUUGUGGUUUCUGCUGCAGCUUCAUAGGCAGUCUUACACACCUAGAAAAAGGUGUUACCUCAAGGUAUAGAAAUUACCUCUUUGAUCUUCCAGAGCAGAUUUAUUCCACAAAGUGACAUUCAGGUGGCAACCAUCUGAAUUAGCAUACGUAUAGUACAGUGUUUUUUGUAAUAAGACAUAAAUAAUGAUUGUCUAAUGUGUACUGUACUGAACGUGUAAGCACAUCCAAAAUCUGUGGGAAAAUACUUGAAAAAAACCUCCUAUGCAAGACAUUUGUUGUAGGAAGCAAUUCUGCUGUUCAUGGGAGAUGGAGGCAUUUGCAGGUAGUUAACUUUCAAAGAUACUAUUUCACAUUUGUUAGCAGCCUGCAAAUCUGACUUUACAUUCUUGGUUUGCAAAUCUACUUUGCUGUAGAUAGGCUAUUGUGUUCCAGGUUUAUACUGUAUGUUAGAAGGCAGUACAGGAUAAACUUCCAGGCAUGUGGAUUCCUUGGUUUUCAACUGCAAAUUCCUGGAAAACUAGGCUUUGCAAUGGGGUUCUACAUCAGUGCCCAUAAAACCAAUUAAAAUGGUAUGUGUGAUUUAAGUGGAAUUCUGGUACCCGCAUCCCUUUGCAAGAUGCUUUUAAAAGCAUUAAAGACACAUUACAAAACUUAACUAGCACUUUCCUUCUGGUUGGUGGCAGAUACUCAGCUGUGCUUCCAUUUAACGCUUCUGUAUUAAAUAUCAGACUGGUUUUGAUGUAACUGAAGUUUGUUUGAUCUUAUUUUGGAGACCAAACCACAUGAAUAAAUGAAGCAGGAUAGCCACAUCAACUUAACUGAAACAUUGUCUCAUGUAUUCUGCUGUAAAAAAGCCACAGGUUUGGCUGAAUUUCUGGAAGUAUCAGUUCUGAAAAUUUUAACGUUAGCUGUCAGAAUUGCUGAUUCCUGUCAAUUUCCUCUGUUCUUUAACAGAGCUCUUGAAUAUGAAUGUUUGCAUUCUGGGGAAGUACAUCAGUGCAUAGAAGAAAGUUUAAUUUCUUUGGUUUAAGAGAACUCUUCUAGAGUUUACUUGCAGAAAAGAAUCAUAGCUGUUUCUCAGACUGCUCUUGAACGACGACCUGUCUGAUGAAUCUCAUGCAGGAGUGAUCCUAGAUUUCUAUUUUAGAGCGACAGAAAUCUCUAUAUAUGCAUGUUUGAAAAUAAAGUUGAUAUAUGGCCUGAAAUAGUUCUUAGUCAUCUCAACACUAGCUUGAGAUCCUGAACUGUUUUCAAUUAAAUGGCUUUUAGGUGAAUAUAGUGAGGAAGAAAGAAAUACUCCGAAAGCUCUCAUCCAUGAUAUUUGUCCUCAAUAAAGGUGUUUUGAUAGGAUGUUAAGCAUUAAAACAAAACAUUAAAUCAUU